GCCGCACGCGCGCUACACUGACGGAGCCAGCAAGUAACCUUGGCCGAGAGUCCUGGGUAAUCUCGUGAAACUCCGUCGUGCUGGGGAUAGAGCAUUGUAAUUUUUGCUCUUCAACGAGGAAUUCCUAGUAAGCGCAAGUCAUUAACUUGCGUUGAUUACGUCCCUGCCCUUUGUACACACCGCCCGUCGUUACUAUCGAUGAAUGGCUAAGUGAGCCUCCAAGACGGUCUCAGAGCUGGGGGCAACUCCGGCUCGAAGACUGAAAUUCAUGCAAACUUAGUCAUUUAGAGAAAGUACAAGUCGUAACAAGGUUACUGUAGGUGAACCUGCAGUAGGAUCAUUAUUGUUGAUUUAUACCUUUACACUGUGUUUUACAGAAAACCCCAACAAACAUACAUACCACAAAACAAACAAACAAACCAAUUAAAACUUUCAACAACGGAUCUCUUGGUUCCCGCAUCGAUGAAGAGCGCAGCGAAAUGCGAUAAUUAAUGUGAAUUGCAGGCAUCGUGAAUCAUCGAGUUCUUGAACGCACAUUGCGCCCUGUGGUAUUCCGCAGGGCAUGCUUGUUUGAGCGUCGUUUCCCUCUGUAGGAAAUGGGUUUGCCUCUGGCAUUCUUGAAAGACAUGGGGACUUUGUCCAAGGAUGAACUACGUUUCCAUCCCACGGAUUGCCCAAAAACACUUGUCAUUUCGACCUCAAAUCAAGUAGGAGUACCCGCUGAACUUAAGCAUAUCAUAAGCGGAGGAAAAGAACCAACAGGGAUGCCUUAAUAACGGCGAGUGAACGGCAAAACUCAAUUUGAAACUGGUUUCGGGCCCCCGUUGUAAUUUGCA
RNAcentral lists this ribosomal RNA (836 nucleotides) under Saccharomycetales sp. LM503. RNAcentral describes it as "eukaryotic LSU rRNA". The stretch from base 1 to 343 matches the Rfam family "Eukaryotic small subunit ribosomal RNA", at positions 1486 to 1831 of the family's 1831-position model. Lineage: Eukaryota; Fungi; Ascomycota; Saccharomycetes; Saccharomycetales. The record is from RNAcentral.